UCAUUGUCGAAACCCUGCCCAGCAGAAGGACCGGCGAAC
This 39-nucleotide ribosomal RNA is filed under the name Ficus benghalensis (Indian banyan). RNAcentral's name for it is "partial 18S ribosomal RNA". Lineage: Eukaryota; Viridiplantae; Streptophyta; Magnoliopsida; Rosales; Moraceae. The record is from RNAcentral.